GGAUUCCCCUAGUAACUGCGAGUGAAGCGGGAAGAGCUCAAAUUUAAAAUCUGGCGGUCUUUGGCCGUCCGAGUUGUAGUCUGGAGAAGUGCUUUCCGCGCCGGACCGUGUACAAGUCUCUUGGAAUAGAGCGUCAUAGAGGGUGAGAAUCCCGUCUUUGACACGGACUGCCGGUGCUUUGUGAUGCGCUCUCAAAGAGUCGAGUUGUUUGGGAAUGCAGCUCAAAAUGGGUGGUAAAUUCCAUCUAAAGCUAAAUAUUGGCGAGAGACCGAUAGCGAACAAGUACCGUGAGGGAAAGAUGAAAAGCACUUUGGAAAGAGAGUUAAACAGUACGUGAAAUUGCUGAAAGGGAAACGCUUGAAGUCAGUCGCGUCUUACAGAACUCAGCCUUGCUUUCGCUUGGUGCACUUUCUGUAGGACGGGCCAGCAUCGAUUUUGACCGUCGGAAAAGGGUUGAAGGAAUGUGGCACCUCCGGGUGUGUUAUAGCCUUUGGCCGCAUACGGCGGUUGGGAUCGAGGAACGCAGCGUGCCGCAAGGUGGGGCUUCGGCCUACAUUCACGCUUAGGAUGCUGGCGUAAUGGCUUUAAACGACCCGUCUUGAAACACGGACCAAGGAGUCUAACAUGCCUGCGAGUGUUUGGGUGGAAAACCCGAGCGCGUAAUGAAAGUGAAAG
Molecule: ribosomal RNA, 675 nt
Filed under: Polyporus grammocephalus
Lineage: Eukaryota; Fungi; Basidiomycota; Agaricomycetes; Polyporales; Polyporaceae
Description: eukaryotic LSU rRNA
Rfam family: Eukaryotic large subunit ribosomal RNA
Source: RNAcentral